Molecule: transfer RNA, 78 nt
Filed under: Firmicutes bacterium ADurb.Bin506
Lineage: Bacteria; Bacillati; Bacillota
Also listed under: 1 other name
Description: tRNA-Pro
Rfam family: tRNA
About the family: Transfer RNA (tRNA) molecules are approximately 80 nucleotides in length. Their secondary structure includes four short double-helical elements and three loops (D, anti-codon, and T loops).
Source: RNAcentral
CGGGGCGUGGCGCAGUUUGGCUAGCGCGCUUGCUUGGGGUGCAAGAGGCCGGGAGUUCAAGUCUCCCCGCUCCGACCA